GAAGGAUUUCUUAAAAAAAAUGUUGUAAUUUUUUACUUCUUUUUUAUUUUAAGACUUUUGUGUUGGUUUUU
This 71-nucleotide transfer RNA is filed under the name Hansenia oviformis. RNAcentral's name for it is "tRNA-His". Lineage: Eukaryota; Viridiplantae; Streptophyta; Magnoliopsida; Apiales; Apiaceae. The record is from RNAcentral.